RNAcentral lists this ribosomal RNA (293 nucleotides) under uncultured bacterium. RNAcentral's name for it is "partial 16S ribosomal RNA". It matches the Rfam family "Bacterial small subunit ribosomal RNA", at positions 505 to 796 of the family's 1533-position model. The record is from RNAcentral.
GUGUCAGCAGCCGCGGUAAGACGAACCGUGCAAACGUUGUUCGGAUUCACUGGGCUUAAAGGGCGCGUAGGCGGCUUGGCAAGUCUGUGGUGAAAUCUUUCGGCUCAACCGGAAAAUGGCCAUGGAUACUGCCGAGCUCGAGGGGGGUAGGGGUCGCGGGAACUGCCAGUGGAGCGGUGAAAUGCGUUGAUAUUGGCAGGAACGCCGGUGGCGAAAGCGCGCGACUGGACCUUUUCUGACGCUGAGUGCGCGAAAGCUAGGGGAGCAAACGGGAUUAGAUACCCCGGUAGUCC